Molecule: ribosomal RNA, 727 nt
Filed under: uncultured bacterium
Lineage: Bacteria
Description: bacterial SSU rRNA
Rfam family: Bacterial small subunit ribosomal RNA
Source: RNAcentral
AACAGGAUUAGAUACCCUGGUAGUCCACGCCCUAAACGAUGUCGACUAGGUGUUCGGUGAGGAGACUCAUUGAGUACCGCAGCUAACGCGUGAAGUCGACCGCCUGGGGAGUACGGUCGCAAGAUUAAAACUCAAAGGAAUUGACGGGGACCCGCACAAGCGGUGGAUGAUGUGGAUUAAUUCGAUGCAACGCGAAAAACCUUACCUACCCUUGACAUGUACGGAACCCUGCUGAGAGGUGGGGGUGCUCGAAAGAGAGCCGUAACACAGGUGCUGCAUGGCUGUCGUCAGCUCGUGUCGUGAGAUGCUGGGUUAAGUCCCGCAACGAGCGCAACCCUUGUCAUUAGUUGCUACGCAAGAGCACUCUAAUGAGACUGCCGGUGACAAACCGGAGGAAGGUGGGGAUGACGUCAAGUCCUCAUGGCCCUUAUGGGUAGGGCUUCACACGUCAUACAAUGGUCGGUACAGAGGGUUGCCAAGCCGCGAGGUGGAGCUAAUCCCAGAAAGCCGAUCGUAGUCCGGAUCGCAGUCUGCAACUCGACUGCGUGAAGUCGGAAUCGCUAGUAAUCGCGGAUCAGCAUGCCGCGGUGAAUACGUUCCCGGGUCUUGUACACACCGCCCGUCACACCAUGGGAGUGGGUUUCACCAGAAGAGGCUAGCCUAACCGCAAGGGGGGCGGUCGCCACGGUGAGAUUCAUGACUGGGGUGAAGUCGUAACAAGGUAACC